CAUCAGCAUCAUCGGCAUCACUAUAAGCAGAUUUGGCGCAGAAAUAGGUGGCGGAAUCCUCGUCCCUGAGGCUGUUCAUGGUCAGCGUCACCGAGCUCUGCCCGUUGUCCCUGGAGAUCGUGAACCGGCCCUCGACCGACGGCGCGUAGCCGGUGCUGCCACCGCUGUAGAUCCCUGCGACGUAUUCCAGCCCCUGCCCAUUUUUCUGGCGGAUCCACAUCAUCCCGAAUUUGCUGAAG
Corvus hawaiiensis (hawaiian crow) is the source of this 239-nucleotide long non-coding RNA. RefSeq lists it as uncharacterized. NCBI's taxonomy places the organism in Eukaryota, Metazoa, Chordata, Aves, Passeriformes, Corvidae. The record is from RefSeq and is a predicted model, not a curated record. The transcript has 3 exons.